UACGUAGGGUGCAAGCGUUGUCCGGAAUUAUUGGGCGUAAAGAGCUCGUAGGCGGCUUGUCGCGUCGGCUGUGAAAACCUGGGGCUCAACCCCGGGCCUGCAGCCGAUACGGGCAAGCGUAGAAUUCGGUAGGGGAGACUGGAAUUCCCGGUGUAGUGGUGAAAUGCGUAGAUAUCGGGAGGAACACCAGUGGCGAAGGCGACUUCCUGGCCUGUUCUUGACGCUGAGGCGCGAAAGCUAGGGGAGCAAACGGGG
This 255-nucleotide ribosomal RNA is filed under the name uncultured bacterium. RNAcentral's name for it is "partial 16S ribosomal RNA". It matches the Rfam family "Bacterial small subunit ribosomal RNA", at positions 524 to 777 of the family's 1533-position model. The record is from RNAcentral.